Molecule: long non-coding RNA, 1498 nt
Organism: Zophobas morio
Lineage: Eukaryota; Metazoa; Arthropoda; Insecta; Coleoptera; Tenebrionidae
Exons: 3
Source: RefSeq, a predicted model, not a curated record
AAUUUCUUGAAGUGCAGCGACAUUCUAUGGCAGCGAACAAUGUGUAUCCACAUAACCUGUAAUAAGUUUUUGUUCGGUGCAGAAACAACCAUGGAAAACGUUAUAUGGAGAAUAUCUCAUUUUGCAUACGAGUAUUUCGCUGAAAAAGAAAAUUCUGUGAAAUCAACAUUUUGGGCUACAUAGUCGUUGUUAAAAUCAACUCUGUUAAUAUAAAACAGCAUAGAUAUAAUCUAAGUACACCAAGUUCUCAAGCAAAAAAUAUAGGUUAUGUUUCCCAGAAAUCAAAUAUAUUUACAAGAGAAAACUUACGAAAAUUUUUAACAGAGGCCCGUGAUUAAUGUACCUAAUGUCAAAGGUAUAUUUUUUAUUCGAAGUUGUAGGAGUAUGCGGAAUGGAAGAAUUUGAACAAUUUUCUUGUAUCUACAUAACCUAUAAUAAGCUUUUAUUAUUAUUACAGAACAGAUUAUUAGCUUAGAUGCCCAUUUUAAAUGAAAAAAGAUCUGCAGCAAUUGCAAAAUAGAGAUGGAUAGCAAUAAUAACAAGCAGUUUACAUGCAUUCGACCGAACUUGCAAAAACUGGCAGAUAAUAUAUCAAAUUUAUUACCUAAAAACUCAGCCACAGUUUAUGAAAAGCGGUAUGAAUUUUUUUUUUGCGCAGAAACAACCAUGCAAAAUAUAUGGAGAACACCUCAUUGCAUACGAGUAUUUCGCUGAAAAAGCAAAUUCUGUGAAAUCUUUAACACUUUGGGCUGCAUAGUCGUAGUUAAAGUCAACUCUGUUAAUAAAAAACAGCAUAGAUAUAUCUAAGUACACCAAGUUUUCAAGCAAAAAAUAUAGGUUACAUUGCCAAGAAAUCAAAUAUAUUUACAAGAGAAGACUUACCAAAAUUUUUAACAGAAGCCCGUGAUUAAAUGUACCUGAUGUUAAAGGUGAUCUCAAACAAGGUCAAUCACAUUGUCUAUAAAUCAUUAUGUUUUAGGUUUAUUUUUUAUUAGAAGUUGUAGGAGCAUGUGGAAUGGAUAAAUUGAAAAAUAACGACGGCAUUCAAGACAAAAACGAUACGCUAAUAAUUAAAAUUCCAACGUCUAAAACUGGCAAAGCACGAGAAUUUACAAAUAUGUGUAAAAAUAUUUAUCCAAUUGAAAUAUAGUAAAAAUACCUAAUUUUAAGACCGCACCAUACACCAGACAAAUCAUUAUUUAUACAUUACAUUUGGAUAGUGAAUGCAGCAGCUGCUGCAUUGUACAAAUAUACCUGCAAACACACUGUAACAAAUUGUGCAGACACCUCUUUUGACUAAAAGAUAUAUAUUUAACUUUAUCCAUACGUUGUCAACUUUGUUAAUAAUUGCAAUCUCUAACUUCAUAAGAAAUAUGAAUAAUCUACUUUGGUGUUUUAUAGUAGUAUUAAAUGUUCAUAGAAUAUAAUUGCACUUACUACGAAGUAAGCUUUCCUAGUUUUAAGUUGUUUUCUUUUCUCUUUGAUUAUCUUAAUUUCU